RNAcentral lists this ribosomal RNA (289 nucleotides) under uncultured bacterium. RNAcentral describes it as "partial 16S ribosomal RNA". It matches the Rfam family "Bacterial small subunit ribosomal RNA", at positions 507 to 793 of the family's 1533-position model. The record is from RNAcentral.
GCCAGCAGCCGCGGUAAUACGGAGGGUGCGAGCGUUAAUACGGAAUUACUGGGCGUAAAGCGCAUGCAGGUGGUUUGUUAAGUCAGAUGUGAAAGCCCCGGGGCUUAACCUCGGAAUAGCAUUUGAAACUGGCAGACUAGAGUACUGUAGAGGGGGGUAGAAUUUCAGGUGUAGCGGUGAAAUGCGUAGAGAUCUGAAGGAAUACCGGUGGCGAAGGCGGCCCCCUGGACAGAUACUGACACUCAGAUGCGAAAGCGUGGGGAGCAAACAGGAUUAGAUACCCUGGUAG